CAGGGCAAAGCCAAGAAGUGAUUUUCCCCCCUCCCUGCCACGGGAACUGUGACCUAAUUCUCAUUCCUAAUCACAGAAUCAAAGGAGAAAUUUAUUUCAAUGAGCUAGUCUGAAAGAGCUAUUUGCCAAAUGGCUUUCUUUCCAAUACUUAAUGAAAAGAUGCAUUUUGUACUACUUUCAAAAAGUGAUAUGGACAGGAGACGGAAAUACUGGGUAGAAAAGGGCAGUUCCCUGGCAAAGCCUCACCCUCAAGCCUGGAUACCUGCUGUCUUAAACGAAAACGAAAACAGGCAUUUCUGUGUUCAUGCUCCAAAAGUUAUCUUUUGGCCUGCCACACCCCCUAUCCUGCACCCAUAUGAAUCCCGAACCCCAGACUCCAGAAGCAGACCAGCAAGCCCGCAGACCAGCAGAAGGAUGGCAGAACGAUGUGGCAGAGAAAGGGAGAAGAGGAGGAACAUCUGAAUGCCAAAAUGAGUUCAGCUGGGGGCAGUCAGAGAGGAGUCCAGCCACUGGGCAGCCAGAAUCCAGGGGAGGAUCACCUUUCCACUUCAUCCCCUUCCUCUGCCUCCCCAUCCAUCCUGCUGAAAGCCACCUCCACCACUCAAUAAAAC
Molecule: long non-coding RNA, 611 nt
Filed under: Homo sapiens (human)
Lineage: Eukaryota; Metazoa; Chordata; Mammalia; Primates; Hominidae
Description: long intergenic non-protein coding RNA 364
Source: RNAcentral